Octodon degus (degu) is the source of this 1614-nucleotide RNA transcript. It is a transcript of the gene named L-lactate dehydrogenase A chain pseudogene, with no coding region annotated. The transcript has a single exon. The record is from RefSeq and is a predicted model, not a curated record. Lineage: Eukaryota; Metazoa; Chordata; Mammalia; Rodentia; Octodontidae.
GAGCUGCUGCCGCUGAGUCCGGAUCUGAGAAGCGUGCACCCCGACGCCCGCCCCACGUGCAUUCCCGGUUCCUCAUGGUUCUAAGUCCAAGAUGGCCAGUCUCAAGGAUCAGCUGAUUGUGAAUCUCCUUAAGGAGGAACAGGUGCCCCAGAAUAAGAUCACAGUUGUCGGGGUUGGUGCUGUGGGCAUGGCCUGUGCCAUCAGUAUCUUGAUGAAGGACUUGGCAGAUGAACUUGCUCUUGUUGAUGUCAUGGAAGACAAAUUGAAAGGAGAGAUGAUGGAUCUCCAGCAUGGCAGCCUUUUCCUCAGGACACCAAAAAUUGUCUCUGGCAAAGACUAUAAUGUAACCGCCAACUCCAAGCUGGUUAUCAUCACCGCUGGAGCCCGGCAGCAGGAAGGAGAGAGCCGUCUUAAUUUGGUGCAGCGUAAUGUCAACAUCUUCAAGUUCAUCAUUCCUAAUAUUGUGAAGUACAGUCCCAACUGCAAGUUGCUUGUUGUGUCCAACCCAGUGGACAUCUUGACCUAUGUGGCUUGGAAGAUAAGUGGCUUUCCUAAGAACUGUGUUAUCGGCAGUGGUUGCAACCUGGAUUCAGCCCGGUUCCGAUACCUGAUGGGGGGAAAGGCUGGGCAUGCACCCACUGAGCUGCCACGGCUGGAUCCUCGGGGAGCACGGAGACUCCAGCGUCCCUGUGUGGAGUGGUGUGAAUGUUGCUGGUGUCACCCUGAAGAAUCUGCACCCUGAGUUAGGAACAGAUGGGGAUAAGGAGCACUGGAAAGAGGUUCACAAACAGGUGGUUGACAGCGCUUAUGAAGUGAUCAAACUGAAAGGCUACACAUCCUGGGCCAUUGGACUGUCGGUGGCAGAUUUGGCAGAAAGUAUAAUGAAGAACCUUAGGAGGGUGCACCCAAUUUCUACCAUGAUUAAGGGGCUCUAUGGAAUCAAGGAUGAUGUUUUCCUUAGUGUCCCUUGUGUCCUGGGACAGAAUGGGAUCUCUGAUGUUGUGAAGGUGACUCUGACUUCUGAGGAAGAGGAACGUUUGAAGAAGAGUGCAGACACCCUGUGGUCGAUCCAGAAGGAGCUGCAGUUUUAGAGUCUUCCAGUGUCGCCACGUCACUGUCUAGGCUACAGGAGGGCUUAGUUGGAGUUGUGCCCGUUGUCCUUUUUAGCUCACAUGUGAUUGAAGCAGCACUAUUAAGAUGUCCUGGGGAAAACAGUUUCUGAAAGUUAAAGUAGAAACGGUUCACAAAACUCCACAGCUCUGUCCUGAUGCCGGAUGGUGCUGCACUUGUAGUCCUGGUUAGUAUCAAGUAGCCCAGCAUCUGAGACACCUCACUGCACAGGCUCCAGUUACUCUUCAAACAGAUGUGUGUUACUCGGUUACACAGCUUCACCCACCAAGCCUUGUCUGACCUUUCCCCAGUUGGUUCUAGCCUGGGAUCCAGUGUACAAACCCAAUACUGCAUGUCUUGUGCAUAACUGUCUUAAAGGAUUUUAUUUUGUGUAUUAUAUAUAUAUGAGUAGUGUACUUUGCCAUAUAAUGUAAAAAGAUCUACCUGUGAACAGUGCAACCCAGCGUCACACCAACUACAAUACCAAAUAAACCUUGAACAGUG